GCUGAGCCUGCGCGUCCGGAGCCUGUGCUCCGCAACGGGCGAGGCCACAACAGUGAGAGGCCCGCGUACCGCAAAAAAAAAAAAACCACCAAAAACUCCAACUGGAAAAUGGGCAACAUCUAUGAAUGGAGAGUGUGCAUAGGAAGCCCUAGUAGCCAACAAACAUAGAAAAUACAUUCAGCCUUUAGUCAAAGAAAUUCCCCCCCCACCAAAAAAAACUGUAAGUAAGUUUUUGCCCAUCUGGCAUUUAUAAGAGCUUGGGGAAAAAAAUCACUCUUAUCCAAACUAGGUGGUUUUGAAGGUAUGUUACAGAAAUCUUUUAAAAUCAUGUUCCUUUUGAUAGUAACUCAACGUCUAGGUGUUUAUCCUAAAAUACCCAGAUACCUACACCUAAGAGCAUUUAUCGUAGUGUAUCAUAAUAAAAGACUGACAAUGACAAAAACGUGCAUCAGUAGAGGGCUGGUUAAAUAAACUAUUACAGUAAUUUCCUGACACAACACAUCUACAACUAUUACAUGGAAAGAUGUCCAAGUGGGAGAAAGUUCCAAAAUAGCGUUUGAUGCAAUCACAUUGGUCCUCUAUUUACACACGUGCGCGUACACACACGCGCGCACACACGCGCUUGGUGUAUGAAUGGGAAAACUCAAGGAAGGAUUAAAACCAAAAUAUUAACAGUGAUUAUUCCCAAAUGGUCGUACUGUGAUUGCUCCUCUUUACGCCUCUGUAUUUUUUAAGUGGGCAUAUUAUAUCUAGUAUUGGAAAAAUAAUAAUAAGGCUAACUUUUAAAAAACCUACAAGACAUAGGCAUAGUCAUUACCCCCAUUGAAUAGAUAACCACACUGAUUUUAAAACUUGCCUAAUUCAGGAUUUGUGGCAGGCCUGUUAAGACUUCCGUCUGCAUUUUACAGAUGAACAGAGUGAGAUGAGAAGGUUAAGCCCCUCGCCCCUGGCAGGCAGCAGGCGGCCAGCUCCAUCGCCUGGAAGACAGGGCAGCCUCCGCCUCCCUCUGCAGCCAGGAGGCCUGGAAGGACCCUAGGUGCCGGGCAGUGCCUGGGAACCCGCCAAAGGGCACCCAACUGCCAGGGCAGGGUGUAAACCUAGGCGUCCUCCUCCCCCAAGCUCACCACGCGCUUCUGCACUGUUGCCUGCACACGUGUUAUACGAAACACAAGAUUAAAGCCACAGUUUGGGUUUCACAGCCCAGAUAAGGGGAACCCAUACUGGAACUGCACACGAGAAAAAAAGCAGCUCAGACGCUGUUCCUGCCCAUUUCGGAACGUGGCCCUCGGCACACGGGGCGGGCCUGCUCCCACCCAGAGCUCUGACUCAGGCUGGGGUCCCCCUUCUCCCUCCACACACACUGACUCAUCUUCUGAGGUGGCAAGAAACCACCACCUUGUACGUGCAAGCGCUAGGGGAGCCCGACGCCGGAAGGCCCACUCUGGGGGAGCGAGUCUGCACGAUGCUGGGCGAGGUCCGCGCGAGAAGCCCACGACUCGCUGGGGCAGUGACGCCAAAUGGCAGGGGGCCACCCACAGACGGAUGGCAUGUCUUUCUUUUUUCUUUAAUGGAAAAGAAAACCCAAACAGAGGGCGCGCCUCACCUAUUCAGGGGCUGGCGGCCUCGCCCACUCCCACCCCCGGUGGCUUUUCAGGCAGCAAAGGCCGGGCAAGCUAACGGGCUUCUGAGCCAGGGCCUUUUCCCUGGGAACUUCCUGCUGACUUCAAGCCUUAAGUUUAAUUCCGGUAAUGGACUAAGGAUAAAUUAGCAUUCACAUAGCUCCAGCCAAUGCAAAUCUGCUAAAACCUGGCCUACCAGUAUUACCUGUGAGGCCUGAUGGAUUUUAAGAGAAAGAGAAUCAGGAAGAAAAAAAACGACAUCAAGAAUGAAAAACCACCAUUUUAGUUCUGUCCCACAGGGCUACCGAGUGAAGUCUUAGCCUUUUGCCUGCCUUGAAGAGAGUAAAUGUCUAUUUCUACCAGCUGGGCUGCCGCCGACACACACACCGUGUCACUCAGAACCGAGGUGCCAUGUCAUCUGCCCGUCUGGGGAACGGACAGGUGACCCUGGGUGCCCAGGCUGCAGGGCGUCCGUCCGCCACUGAGUGAAUUAUUCUACGUGGUCCAGCACAAGAGGGUGAGGAGGAGGAGGAAGGAACAAGAUGGGACAGCACGGACAGGCCCAGGUGUCCACAACGCAGCUCAGCCGCCCAGAGCGGCCACCCCGGUGGGAGAGGGACAAACUCCAGGGUUCCCACAUCUGACCCUCAUGGGAACGGCCGCCCGUCCCUGCCUGAAGGGUGACUUCGGGGGGUGACGGCCGGGUGUUUUGAAGUCACUACACGAGAAGAACUAUCUCGGGCCGACCGAGGCAGCAGGACUCAACCCUUCAGAAGUUUGGCUUGGACCCCAGAGGGGGGACACUCCAAAGCAGCUCCUUCUAAUCAACUGUCAAACCAAACACUGCUGAGAUCGUCACCAGGAGUGAUUUGACAUUUCUUCCUGUUUAACCUACUAUCUUUUAAAAUCAUUUUACCCAAGACGAGGCUCAGCCCUUCCUCAUUCCUUGCCUCAGCUCCGCUUCCCUUGCUCUGAGCGCGUUCCUCACCCUCUCUGUGAGCUGUCCCUCACUUCCUCCCUGAAAACAGGAAAUCCUGCAGACAGACCUCCUGGGCCAACGAGCCCGCCUUACUGAACGUCUCCCCACGGCUCUGCUGUUGCUGUUUGCUCAACGAGAGGAAUGCGAUAAUAACCCAACACCUUCCCCAACUGACCUCUCCGCUUGUGAUGUUUCUACCGCACUGUGUCUGCAUCCACUGCCGGGGUCCAUUCUACCUUGUGUUUUGGCAGUUCGCAGGCCAAGAUCUCUGUCUCCCCACAGCCCUGAGGCUGACUCGCGUCGCCACCCCAGCACGUUGCUGGGCCUGGCAGGUCGUCGAUGCCGGGUGAGCGCUCGCUGAAACUGGACCGUCAUUCAGCAUCUGUAUCGAUGUCCGUGAUCCCACUGACAAGCCUGUAUCUGAACAAGUGCACUGCAUUCAUUUGCCCAACCAGGGUUAAGAAUUCUAUAAAGUGGCCUAUCACUGGCUCCAUUUCAUAGACAGAGUGGGUUGAAAUUAAUGAUUAGGGUCCCACAGCUAGAAGGAAGGCAAGCUGGGCCUUGAAGCAAAAGCCUGCAGGAUUCGGAGGCUCCACAUCUUCAGUGACAGCGCAGCCCCCAGAGUCAGCCAGGAGCAAAGGGGACUCAGCUGUGCAGCCAGCUGGGGGUGCUGCGUCUGCCCUGGGAACCUGCAUCUUCAGGGCCCUGAAGGCCCACGACCUGGAGGCCUGGGCAGCCCCUAACUGAGACACUUAACACACACAUAAAAGUGGUCCUAGCGCUUCUAGCCAUUUUAAAGCUAUUUCUUUAAACUAGGUGGCAUGUACACAGACGUUCUUUAUAUGGCUUGUAAGUUUUUACUUGUUUGAAAACAAGAUCGUCUCAUGAUUUAGAAAAUAAAAACAAGCAGCACAGACAAGAGCCCCUUCCAACUUAGCAUAAGGGACUUCCUGGACCUGAUAAAGAUCAUCUAAUAAAAACCUCCUGAAAACAUCACUCACACAGCAAAGCAUUUCUUCUGAGAACAGAACGAAACAACGAGGCCUGGAAUCACUACUUGAACAGAUCUGAGCAAGGGCGGUAACAGAAGAAAAAAAUAUAUGCAAUGUGACUGGAAAUGAAGACACAAAACUGCCACACACAGACGACAUGACCACCUACAUAGAGUUAAGACGGAAUCCACAGAUGCUGUUAGAACUAAAAAGAACUCAACAGGCUUGCUGGAAACAAGAUUCCAGAAAUCCAUUGCAUCCCUGUAUGUGUGCAACUACUAAUUAGGAAAGUUAAGUUACCAAGACGCCAUUUACAAACAACAACAUCAAACUGUUAAGGUACGAAAGAGGCACAGGUAUAAAACUGACUUGAAAGACAGCUCCGUGAAGCAGCACUGGCCUCGCGGUUAAGUACCCGUUCCACUCAGAGCCCUGCGGCACACGCCACAGCCGCCUUAAAGAUGCCGGAAGCGUGCACUCGCUCAGAGGAAAAGGAAACCAGAUUCUGGGUGGCUGGCUCAUGUUCGAACACAGGUGCACUGUGUAACCCUCUACGAAUAAUUCUGCUGAGCACAAUAAGGCUAUUCCCAGGAAUACCUUCCAGGGCCUGGACCACUGGCACCUCACAUUUUCUGGAACGCUCAUGACACCUCUGCAAGGCAGGGAUUAUCACCACUUUGCAGAAGAGGCUGAGAUUGACAGGUGAGGUGACCUGCCCGAGGUCACACAGCCGGCAGCCCAGGCGGGACCUGGACUCCUCCAGCCAUCCUGGCUGGGUGGGGACCGGGGCGGGGGGCGUCUGGAAGGGUGAGGAGUUGUUAGCUGCUACGGCGUGGGCUGAGGUGGAGCUGAGCACACGGGGUCAGUGCUGCCCACACGCUGUCACGGAGGAAUCCUUGGCAUUCGAUGGCCGCCUCCAACAACACAGCCAACUGUGUUGCCGUGCUGCUUGCGUUUCAAGUUUUUUGGAAGGACGACACAUUAGCGGUUUUAAAACUGCCCCAACCCUUCAACAUUGACAGACGGGGUCCACGUCCCCUUCCCUUGAGUCCGGACAGGCUUGUGACGGCUUGGACCAGCAGUGGGGGGGUGCGAAGGGGAAAUGACACCAGGGACUUGUGAGCUGAGUCACAACGACCAGGCACUUCCACCCCCUCUCUGGAAACGUCUGCUCUCCAGACACGUCCUCCUGACACACUUCCUCGGGGAACCCAGCCUGGGCCACGUGAGAGGCCCCCGCGGGCAGCCCAGCUGAGGCCGGCCUUCGUGUCGCCCCAGCCCAGGUGCCAGACGUGAGUGGAGACGUCCCCAGAUGGUUCCAGCCCGGAGCCACGGCCUCGGGGGGCAGAGACACCGCAGCCUCCGUGCCCGGUCCAGACCCCUACCCAGCGAGUCCACGGGCAGCAACAGGCAACAGGCACAAACACCAAUUUCUGAGCGGUGCCACCCCCGCUACUCAGUCCUGUCGCGGUAAACAGGCAACGUGAGCAUCUUCAAAGAAACACACGUGGGGCUGAGGCAGGUUCCGAGGGGGGUCCUUUGUCGGUCGUGUUCCCAUUCAAGGAAGCGGGGAUGCUGGUCAACGGCACAAGUCUGGGCUCCGGGUGCCCCGAGCCCAGUCGGCCCGACACCAGGAGGGGCGGAGGCAGCAGGCCUUGCGAUGACUGAGAGCUGGGCAAGGACGUCUCUGAGGGCAGAGGGCAAACCACAAAGUCGGUCAGCUCAGAGAAAGAGGGUCCUCCUGGGAUCCAGGACUGUGCAACGCUGGUCUGACCGGAGCCCCGUGGGGGACAGAAAAAAUCUGCUCAUCGGGCCCCGGUCCCUUGUGACCGCCAGCCUCCAGGGACCCCUCCGCACACUCCCACGGCCCAGUCCCGUCCACACCUGUCCACCUCCUUCCGGGCCCCCUGCCCCCGAGCUCCGCUCUUCGCAGGGGGCACAACAGCCAUCUGGAGGGCGCUCCGGAGGCCCACCGGCCGCCGCCCGUGGCAGACCAGGGGCCAAAACCAGGGCCAGCGCUCCCGCCACCCCUCCUCCUCUCGGCGCCCCGGUUCUCCCUCGGCCCGCUCGCUCCCAGCAGCACACACGCAGCUGCCGUGACUCCCGUCUUAAACAAGACAGAGAAAAGAUCUUCUAAGACACUGGAGAGAAAAACACAGAUCAGCUAUAAAGCAACCACAGACAGCCCACUUCGACAGCAACAACGUACGGCCAAAAAAGAGGAAGAAUAUCAACUAGCUAAAAGAGGGUAACUCUCAACCUAUAAACGUGCACUCAGAAACUUUCCCUGAAGAAUGAGAGCAAAGAUGUCCUCAGAGAGCGAGCCCUCAACAGACUGGAGAACAAAGCAAUCUUGGGCUCCCACCUCCCCCUCAACUACCCACCAGCCGGUUGCACCUACUCCUUCUCCCAAUUCUCCCCAGUCAGGCCUGUGCCCCCGGCAGCCCGCUUGCCCCGGACAGUCCAUCGCUCCUCUUGCAUCAAGUCUCUGCUUCCUCCAGCUUCCCUUCCCGCCUCCCCAGCUGUCCCUCCUCUGUCCCCGGCCAGUUCCGCCCACCUUCCCCUCCCUGCCCUCUCAGCCCUGCGCACCAGCUCUGCCCCACACGUCCAGCCAUAGCACACCCCCGUGAUCACGCCUGGCCGCGCUGCCAGCCCCCUGACCUCCGCUGGGCUCUCCUCUGGCUCGCGUGUCCCACGAGCCCCCUGCUGCCCUCUCAACACCUCCGCGGGGACGCCCAACGGACACCCCGGGUCUGACGCAUGCCAGCCCACCCCACCCUCCCCAGGGCCCCCUGCUGGCCCCCCCAACCCCCCCGCACCGGCUGCUCCUCCGGCUCCUCUGAACCCGCGUAACAGGGUCACCAAGACCCUGCAUCAUUCACACCUCCCACGCCGGUGUCCUCAGCUCAGGCCGAAGUGCUGGUGUCAGCCGACCCUGUCCCUCAAGUCUCACACCUAGCUCGCGACCGGAUCCGACUGCCCCCACCACCUUUCAACACCUGGACCGUGCAGACUCCUUCAGCUCCACCAUCUCCACCGUGGGCACACAGGUCCAAGCCGUCAUAUCUCCUGGUGGGUGACCCCACAAUUCCUAACGGGUCCCCUCUGUGUCCACACAGCAGCCAGAGACUGGAGGGCAAAUGACGUCACUGUUCAAACCCCCGGCGGCCCCCUAUCUCAAUCAGAGUAACAGCCGGAGCCCUGCCACUGCCCCGGCCUCUCUCGCAUCUCCUGCUGCUCCCCUCUUUGCCCGACAGGCUCCCACCCCAGGGCCUUUGCACCUGCCACUUCUGCUCGAAACCCGCUCUCCUCAGAGAUCCAUGUGGCUUGCUCGCUUGCUUCCCUCUCUCAGGCCUUUGCUUACGUGUCACCUUCUUAGAAGAGACCACUGCCGACCGCCUGGUUAAAAACAGCAUCUGCCCUUCCGCCACCUCCUGCUCCAUCUGCCUCCAUAGCAUCUGCCGCCUGGCAUGUUCCGCAUCGAGUCCUCCCCGCACCAGGCAAACCCGACGAGGGCAGCGUGCACUGCUCCACCCCAGCAGUCAGAGCAACACCUGGCAAAGAGCACGCUGCCGGAUGUGAGCGGCUGUGAUGAAUGAGCUCAGGUGCACGGCCUGCCAUCAACUUUCCACAACGACAUGGGCUUUCAAAGGAGUUUGUGUGUUUCUGCUGAUCACUCUUCCAGGACCCUGCCCUCCGGGCGAGGGGGGGAAGGAGCGGGGGGAAUGAGACGCAGCAGGGAGCAGCGCUGAAGGCGCCAGCUGUCCAGGCCCAUGAGGGGACCAGCCAAGGUGGCAAAGCUGUCCAGCCAGCCUGCAGUGGCCCAGGCGCACCCAGCGGGCCUGGAGGCUCAGGCCAAGGGGAGAUGCUGCUUGAAGCCAGAGCUUGGGGGAGCACCAGGCAGAUGAUACAAUGGAAAACAUUCCUAAAACUGAAAUAUUAUUCAGCCAUAAAGAGGAAUGAAGUACUGACACCUGCUACAACCUGGAUGAACCUUGAGAACACCGUUAGCCGAAAGAAGCCAAAUACAAAAGCCCACCUCUCAUAUAAUUCCAUUCAUACGAAACAUCCAGAACAGGCAGAUACACUGAGACAGAAAGCAGGGGAGCGGAUGCCAGCAGGUGGGAGAAUGCAGAACGGAGAGGGACAGCUGUGGGUACAGGGUUUCUCUGCAGGUGAUGAAAAAGUUCUGGAACCAGGUAAGAGGUGGUGGUUUGCAAACACUGUGAAUGUGCUUAAUGUCCUGAAUAUUGUCCUUCAAAAUGGUAAAUCUGAUGUCAUAUGUACUUUAUGCACCUACCUACAUAUAUACAAAUAUAUACACAUAUAGACACACACACAUACGCCAUACUUCACGGACGUGUCUUCUCGGCACUGAGCCCCCGAGCCCCGUGGAGAGGAAUUGGGGCCUUCCUCCGGGGUCUUCGGUGGAGCACACACUCACUGCGUGAACUACCAGCACCGGCAGAUUCUUCAGCUCUCCAGCAACAACCCAUGAAAAUACUGUGGUAAACAGGGAGAGCAGCCCGCGCUCUGUGACCACCUAGAGGGGUGGGAUAGGGAGGGAGGGAGGGAGGCGCCAGGGGGAGGAGAGAUGGGGAUAUGUGUAUACGUAUAGCUGAUUCACUUUGUGAUACAGCAGAAACUCACACACCCUUGUGAAGCAAUUAUACUCCACUGAAGAUGUUAAAAAAUAAAAUAAAAUAAAAAUGCAGUGGUAAUUUGGGGCUUUGUGAGCUGUAUCUUGAGAAAAUAAAGCUGUUGUGUUUUUUUGAGUAUUAGUGUCAUACAAGACAGAGAUAACCAAUCAGAACAAGGGAUUUUACACGUUUCUUGGACAACACUGACCCACUGCCUCUGUUCUCACUCAGCCGUGCCCGCUGGUAGGCCCGCCACUCCCCAGUGCUACACCACCAGCUCCUGGGCCCACCGGCCGUAUCCCCUUUCGUCCUCAUCUCCACAGCUGUCAGUGGAGACCCCAGCAGACGGCCUCCCUCCCCCACCUUGGGAGUUGCUCAGGUCCGGCAGGUUGCCCGCGGGCCGGGCGGACACAGCACAGGCGGAGGGAAGGUCAUGGCCAGUGGCAUAUAGCGUGUCAUUUGGAAACCUCAGCCGAGCAGAGCUGCUUGCAGCUACCCAAGCGGGCACGGGUGCCAGGAAAACCACCAAGCCCCGCACUCUCGGCCAGCAGAGCUUCUGUGCUUUGGGGCCAGCGAUCUACCAGACCUAAGAAACGCCAGGAGCACUAAAUGCUAAAGGGGCUAGAUGGACGCAGUAAGGGCGGGCUUCUCUGCCAGGUUUUUGCUCUCCCAUCGCUCCAAAGAGCGACACCAGGGUCACCUGCUGGGUCACAGAACAGAGUGCGCUUGACGUCCGCACGCCUAAAGGGGCACUUGGCAGCGGCCACAAGGAGCCUCCCCCCACGCAGGACCAGCACGGCAGGGAGCCCCGUCCGCUGCCAGGUCUGCCCGUCCACCUGCCACCCGUCCAUCCGUGCUCAGGGCUCCUCCGCCCACCCGGCGCCUCCCACCGCACCGGGACCCCCUGCGGGUUCCACCCCCACCAGCUCCAGGCACUGACCCCCACCAGACCCUAGUAACCGUGUGCUGGCUCGACGGGCCGCGAGCGCCCUGAUGGGCUGGCUGCUCACGGACAACCCGAGGGAAGGAGACAGACGCUGGGGAACAGCCGAGUGCCCGUGGGCCGUGGGGGAACACCAAGGCAUGCUGACUGAGCUACUCGGCAGGGUUUCACCGGAAAGCCGUUCUGAGCAGAUCCCGGGAAGAAGGAGUUUCCACCCGCAGGAAAGGGGGCCGGGGCCCACGCGGCCAGAAGUGCGGGGCAGGGGGGCGGGCGAGGACCCGGUCCUGACCCGCUCCAGGGUUCAGAACGCGUUCUAUAAAUAGCUGGCAACCUUUGAUUGUGUCCAAGCGGGCAGUGUGGCCACAGCAGGGCCCCGGCCGCAGCCCCGCAGGACCGUGCUGUGCUCAGGCCUCGGCACGCAGGUUCUUCCUCGGCUGCACGCUCCCGCUCCGGCAGGAACCUGCUGUCCAGAGUCCUGCCCUAACCCAGCGCGGCAUACAUUCUACCCACCGAUUGUUUGUCCAUCCCCCCCCCCCGUCCCCCCCAGAUCCUAAGCUCCCUGAGAGCAGGAGUCAUCUGCUUUGGUCCAGUUUCUCGUUAGCAUCUAGGACAGGGCCCAGCACCAGAGCAGUGCUCCAUACGCGGAAGGGAGGCAGGUACAGUGACGGCAGUCAGGAGUGCAGAGGGCGGCGGGGGACACGGCACUGGCCCUGAUCAUAGAUGGGGCUUCUGUCCCUGUCCCUGGGCCAGGGCCGUGACAAGACAGCAGGUAAGGCAGCACAACUCUUUACCAACAAUUUUUCACACACGGCGAAGUGACUGCCUGCUCGUUAGGAAUCAAUUAGAACACCUUCCUCUAUGUAGGUCACACCAUUCACUCAUAUUUUUUCUAGAGCAGGUCAGAAGCUACGAGCAAAAGCCCCUAAAAAGCACUCGAAGAUGCAGCCAAGCGAUGGUGCUUCACACAAGCACCCCGGCAACAAAUCUCCAAGAGGGCCCUAGGCUGUUUCCUGGGGAGGGAGGGGGGAUACACUUUAUUUUCAAAUACAGUGGUGAUAAAGAACAAGCAGGACAGGUGGCAGGCAAGGGGGGAGGGUCUUUCUCUAGGCCCACAGAAAUGUUUUAAACUCCUUCUGGAUGCCAGCCAGGAAUGGAAGCACUUCCAGACUGAUAACCUCAGAAGAAAAUCCCAACUCAACGUGUGCUCAGAUUAUCGGAAAAUUCCAUCAGCACCUGCUGGCGAAGACAGAGGCUUUCUUAACAGGACAACUUUUAUAAACACCUCACAAAAAGCACAAAUAGAAUUCAGCAAACUAAAGACACCCCUCACUUAAGUUGCCUAUUUUCAAAAAGAGCUCUGAGACCUAAGGGAGAGCCACACUCCUUCACCAAGAACCCAAAAGAAAGCACUGACCCCAUUUCCUUCUGCAGCAGAGACGAGGGUCCCUUUUCCGUCCCACAGUCAAUCCUUCGGCUUCCCACCUACACCUGCUCCAAGGAACAGGCCAUCCAGGUCUGUUCCAGCCCCAAACCCCUCCUGCAGUCCCAGAUGGGCCACACAAACAAGAAUUCAAACUCCAAAUCGGACUGUCUUCUUGGGUAGUUAUAAAUAAAUAAAUAAAUAAAUAACAUGCUUGUAAAUCAUGAUACAAUUUAAUUAAAGUGGAACAUCUCUCUAACACACCGUGGAAUUAAGUAUUCACACACAGAUCGUUCGGUAGAUUGAAACAGAACAGAACUCAGGAUUCUCCUGAUUCAGCAGUUCUCCACGAGUGGUCCUAGGAACUCCUGGGGGGUCCUAAGACCCUUUGAGGGGAUUCCCAAGGUCAAAACUAUGUUCAUCUAAUACUGAGAUGUCAUUUGCCCUUUCUGUGCUGACAAGUGCACUGAUGGUUCAAAGGCAGGUAAAACUGCAGGUGCCUCAGCACCAACCAAGGCAGCGGUGCCCAUCUGUGCUCUUACCGGGCCCAUCACCAGAAUGGGGAAAGCCCAGUUUACCUAGAAAUGUCCUUAACAAAGCAGUAGAAUGCAUUCAUGAAACACUGACUCUCAGGCCUUCUCACCAUCUGUGUGAGAAGCAGGAAACGUUCGUAUCCCGAGGUACGAUGGAAUGCCGAGGAAGAGGGAUUGUGUCAGUGGGCGCUGUGAGCUGACCUCCUUUUUCAACGGAGGCUGGAGCUGGGAGUGAGGCAGACACCGUCCCAAAACUGAACCAAGUGGGCUUUGCCCCUCCAAGAACACGGCUGCCAGGAUCUGCUGCGAUGAUAAAACUCAAGCUUUAACGUGACAAUUAGAAUUGUGGAAAACGUGUACCCGCCGCCACGAGCUUAAAGCCUCCAAAUACUUAGACUUGUGGCGAGAGCAGCAGUGAUGUGAUGUCCCCGAGUGUGACUCUUCCCUGUGUUUGAAAGACCUGAAAACUCUGCAAACCAAUGUCCUCCGAAGACGACGCGGGACGUCACAAAGUCACCUGGCUACAGAUGGAUUCACGCCGCAGCGGGUGCGGUUCUGGACCCUGCACGGCAACUAGCUUGUAAGAAACUACGACUUGUUGCGUUCUGGUGUGGUGGCAAAGAAGAACAUCCACGACCUGCAAAGGCCUCUACUACUGCUCCCUUUCAGCCACAGACCAGCGUGAGGCCAGAGUUUCUUCGCAUACUUCAACCAAAACGCCAUAUCCCAGCAGACUGGAUGCAGAAACCAACUGCUGCUUUUAUUAAGCCAAACCCAAAGGAGAGUUACAAAAAUGGGAAACACCACUCUUCUCAUUACAUCGUUUUUAGUUUUAAACAAUUCUUUCAUAAGAAUGUGAUAUAUUGAUACACAUCAGAUUUCUUGUCAGUACAUUAAAUAUUCAUCAUUACAGCACAUUGAGUAUUUUUUAGCCCCCUCAAUUUUAAGAUCUUAUACAGCGUAUAACCCACAUAAACAAAGGGUCUGUGGGGACCUUGGUAAUUUGAGAAUAUAAAGAGGUCCUGACACAAAAAGGUUCUGGAACCACUGCCUGACUUUAUCACCUUAUGGGUGUGGCUGUGGCCAUCCAGAGUGGUUCCGCCCUGCAUUUCUCCAGGAAUAAGGGCAAGGGUGGCAAAUGUCAGUGACCCAAAGGAAACUCUGACUAGGAAAGGAGGUACUGCAGACAUUUCUGAUCCGGUUCCCAACAGAUAGGAACAGCAACAAGAGGAGCUGGGCGGUCUGACCAUCCCCGGUGGCUGUGCUCUCUUGCCACCGUCUGGUGGCUCGCCUGACCAGUCGACCAGAGACGGCUUCACCACCAGUGCUGUGUCUUGCUGGUAUGAGAGGUGAGCAGUUAAAGACUGCACUCCACAGCCACUCUCUCUAGGAAACUACCCACCAAAACGGGAAACGGACAUAUACAGAACAUGUCACCAGAAUAAACACAAAGUCAAUCACUAGUAAACACGGCAGUAGCCCACACUUGUUCCAAAGGAACAGAAAUGAUCCACAGCAGACCUCAAUGGUUAAGUGAUUUACAACUGUCUUUGCAUUAACAGAGUGAGUUUUCUCCUAACACCCACAGCCAGGGAUGGGGAGGAAGGUGGGCACACAAAGUCUGCGUAAGUACUGAGCUCCCAGGACCCUGUAAUACAGGGACGAGUGCACCGCGCACCUUCUGUGCACGUCUGGCAGAUCCUCACUUCACCUCCAAGUGCAUCCAGUUACUUCAGUUUAAACAACUACUUGUCAAGCGCUCAAAUCAGAGACAGCAAACAUCAUUCAUUUCAAAAUACAUAAAAUUUCACCAGGGACAAGAUCUGAGCCGACAGGAGCUCUUCCCCACUUUCAGUGAGCAAACAGCAUCAUGAACGGCCACCAUGCUGGGGGGUCACCGACUGGUAGCGGCUCCUCACCAGCCCUGGGAUCUCCACAGGCUACAAAACUGCGGAGGAGAGGGGAAAUCACCUGAGGACUCUCGAAGUCCACAGCAUGCUGUCCUUUGCCUAUUUCCCAGCUUAACCUUAAAAAAAAAAAAAAGCAACAACCACCCACACCUCCUCCCCCAUCUCCCCCACUGCUGCACUAACACGCCACGAGAUGGAACCGCUCUCGAGGUGGCGACACGCUGCGAUUACACAGACUAAGGGGUGAUGGUGACGGCGCUCUCACAAGCCAAGGGGAGCAGCGUAAACAGGGCCACGGAGCACCCACACAGCCGCGGCUCCCCGGGCCACCUCCCCACGUGCAGCCCGUUGCAUUCUGAUGUAAAAAGGGGGAAAAUGGUCCAGGGAUCCCGGCGCUGGGCUCUAACAAGGCCCUCCACCGUAUCCCCCACCUGGUCAGCACCCUUCACAAAAGCAUGUGAAAACGGUCGGACGUCAGUGAGCGGUAAGAAAAAUGCCUGGGACGUCAGCAAAGGACGGUUAAUGGAAAUGCCCUCCUGGGGCAAACUGGGGGGCACCAAGGCCCGAAACAGACUCAGAGAGCCGUGGUUUAAAGAAAGCAAAAGUAAAACUCAGUCAGUACUCACUAAUUCAAAACAGCAUCCCUCCCCCCACCAAAAUCAACUGGAUGUUCCUUAAUCAAAACACUGUAAAAUCCAAACCCACUUAAGCUAAGUCAAUUUUCCCCUUUUAUUUCAUAAUGAAGUUUGUGCUACUACAAAGAACGCCAUUACAAAGUCCUGUACAUUUGCAUAAUAAUGGCAAAGCCACGCAGCUACCCCCCUGUGCGUUCAUCAACCCCAGCAAGUUUCACCCACUUGUCUGGGCACUGGAGGUCAAGGUUCUAGGACCGCAGGUAGCUGCCCGGGUCCAAAUCGGGGAUCCAGCACUUCCCGCUGUGUGCCCUGCACUCUGUGCUCAGCUUCCUCACUUCCAUAACGGGGGGGUGUGACAGGUCCCGCUAAGGUCAAGCCCGAAUACGAAAAGCACCCUCCGAAAACUUAAAAGCUUUUGCACAGCAAAGGAAAACAUAAACAAGACGAAAAGACAACUCUCAGAGUGGGAGAAAAUAUUUGCAAACGAAGCAACUGACAAAGGAUUCAUCUCCAAAAUUUACAAGCAGCUCAUGCAGCUCAGUAUCAAAAAAACAAAACUCAAUCCAAACAUGGGCAGAAGACCUAAACAGACAUUUCUCCAAAGAUAUGCAGAUUGCCUACAAACACAUGAAAGGAUGCUCAACAUCACUAAUCAUUAGGGAAAUGCCAAUCAAAACUACAAUAAGGUAUCACCUCACACCAGUCAGAAUGGCCAUCAUCAAAAAAUCUACAGACAAUAAAUGCUGGAGAGGGUGUGGAGAAAAGGGAACCCUCUUGCACUGCUGGCGGGAAUGUAAAUUGAUACAGCCACUGUGGGGAACAGUGUUGAGGUUCCUUAAAAAACGAAAAAUAGAACUACCAAAUGACCCAGAAAUCCCAGUACUGGGCAUAUACCCUGAAAAAACCAUAAUUCAAAAAGAGUCAUGUACCACAAUGUUCAUUGCACCUCUAUUUACUAUAGCCAGGACAUGGAAGCAACCUAAGUGUCCAUCGACAGAUGAAUGGCUAAAGAAGAUGUGGCACAUAUAUACAAUGGGAUAUUACUCAGCCAUAUAAAGAAAUGAAAUUGAGUUAUUUGUAGUGAGGUGGAUGGACCUAGAGUCUGUCAUACAGAGUGAAGUAAGUCAGAAAGAGAAAAACAAAUACCGUAUGCUAACACGUACAGAUGGAAUCUAAAAAAAAAAAAAAAAAACAGGUUAUGAAGAACCAUUGCAGGACAGGAACAAAAGACGUAGAUGUAGAGAAUGGACUUGAGGACACAGGGAGGGGGAAGGGUAAGCUGGGAGGAAGUGAGAGAGUGGCAUGGACAUAUACACACUACCAUAGCACAGGGAGGGAGAUCAGCUCGGUGCUUUGUGACCACCUAGAGGGGUGGGAUAGGGAGGGUGGGAGGGAGACGCAAGGGGGAGGGGAUAUGAGGAUGUAUGUAUACGUAUAGCUGAUUCACUUUGUUAUACAGCAGAGACUAACACACCACUGUAAAGCAAUUAUACUCCAAUAACGAUGUUAAAAAAAAAAAAAGAAAGAAAGAAAAGCACCCUCCGAGUGGCACGCAGCCAGCAGGACGCCCACUGAGCUGCUCCUGCCAUCACUGAACUGACCUCCUGCACCGUGCAGUCUUCAUACACCUGCCAGCUGAAGUCACUUCCCGAGUCUCAAACUUCACGUGUGUGAUUCUCACUAAUGCCCUCCUCACACACGGACCUGUGGCCACUCCCUGUAGGUCACUGCCAUUCACUCAUUCAUUGCUUUCAGCACAGUCCACAAUUAACUGCUUCCUAAGUCCUGUAAUCAUGCUGUAAAUAGCACUUUUAGCUGUAAGGAUACAGGUAUUGAUUGGCUAAAUGCAAACAUUUAAAACAAACCACUUUUAAAGUAAGCAAAAAAUGGGACUUCCCUGGCGGUCCAGUGGGUAGGACUCCGCGUUCUCAAUGCAGGGGGCCCGCGUUCGAUCCCUGGUCAGGGAACAACCCAGGUUAGAUCACCCAGCAUGCCGCAACUAAGAAGUCCGUGUGCCACAACAAAGAUCCCGUGUGCCGCAACAAAGACCCAGAGCAGCCAAAAUAAAUAAAUAAAUAUUUAAAAAUAAAAUAAAAUAAGCAAAAAUGUAAUAAAGUGGAUGGAGACAGGGCGCCACGCAGGACUCAGGUCCUCCUGGCCCAGGAGCAGCCAACCAGGGGUCAGCCGCCACCAGCUGCCUACACCUGCUCUUAGGCUCCAGGGCCCACAGGUGGCCAUUCGCUGCUGCCCUGGCCCCAGGGAGUCUGCCGAGCGCACGGCCCAGCUUUCACCACGCUGAAACAGCCGUCUGAGCCGGUGGCAGAGACAAAGCCAAAGAGCCGAAAUGAAGAGGGGGCCUCUCCACUAGUGGAUCAACAGCCGAUAUUUUAGGGACAGAAUAAAAGGGCACCACAUAUCAGGUCAGAAAUAGUAGUUUCUGUGGACUGUGGCAUGCUUUGGGGAGAUAAACGCAAGUUAAAUGAAACUUUAACACGCUCAGAGUGGGUUUGCUACUUUAAAAAGCUGGACCAGCUUCUUGGAAGUGUCAGUUUUCCAGCUCUCCACACAGCUUUGUUACACGCAGAGACGUUCCCCUUCCGGGCACCACAUACAUAUCCCAUCCACGCAGUUGACUGUUUCAAAUUAAAACACACUAUUGAGUUACAGCACUAACGGGUCUGCUUUGUUUCUUCUGGGGCUUUGUUUAGAAAUAACCUUGACAAUGUCCAAGCAAACAACUUGGACCAAAGACCAGAACGGUCACUUAGAAGAAAAAGAAAAAGCUGUUCCCAUAAUCGAAGAAGGGUUUUUUUAUGAGAAACGCAUGCUACAUCAUCACUCAUCUAUAUCAAUUUGUAAUCUCUAAUCUCUAAACCAAAGCUCACCCCAGUGGAUGCACCUUUCUGGAAUAUAAUGGAAGAUCCUGUGGACUGACGGACGUGCUGCCACGCAGGGCACACUCAGUGGGGUACUGGGGGCACUACAGUGGGUUUGCACUGGGAGGUCCACGUCCUUGCACAGGCACCCCUGUGACCAAGCCCUGCACAACUUCUCUGCCCUGUGGCCCAGGCCAGAGAGGAGCCUCCCCAGGCCCGCACCUGCCUCGUGCAGCCCUCACCAGCCCCAGGCAGCACUGGCACAAACGUGCCUCUAGGCGUAAUUUUCAGAUUCCUCUAAGAAGGGCAUACUCCUUAAAGAAGCCACAACAUUUCUUCCACCCGCUGAAGCCAUCGCUGUAACAAUAAGCAACGUGCAUUGAGCACACCCUAGGCACCAGCAGGCACUUUGCAUGUUAACUCAUUUUUUACCUUCACAAUAAAAUGACU
Long non-coding RNA from Physeter macrocephalus (sperm whale), 16997 nucleotides. RefSeq lists it as uncharacterized. The record is from RefSeq and is a predicted model, not a curated record. NCBI's taxonomy places the organism in Eukaryota, Metazoa, Chordata, Mammalia, Artiodactyla, Physeteridae. The transcript is spliced from 3 exons.